AAAGUCGCCGCGGUGGGCACCUGAGGCGGUUUUCCCCCUUAUACCUGGGUGGUGGUGGUGCGACGUUUUGUGGGAACGUCUGCCCCACUGUUCCCUCUACGUUGGGGUUAUCAACGUUCACAUUACAGGAUGCCCGAAGAAGCAACAGCUCAAGAUAACAAUGAUGUGGUUGUGAAGAAGAGACGUGGCAGACCACCCAAAAGUGAUAAGGUGGCCGCGAAGGUACCCGAGAAGCGCAAGAUGGCUGACUCGGGAGCGGCGGAUGGGGAGGAGGGUGCUCAACAGCCUGCUCCUGCCAAGAAAAGGGGUCGACCCCGUAAAGUGGGUGGACCAGCCAAGAAAGCAGCCAAGCCCCGCGGGCGUCCGCCCAAGAAAGCGCCGAAGAAGGCCGACUCGGCCGAGGAGUCCGAGUGAGCCGCGGGGCGCCGCUGGGUCCGCCGCUCCGCGUGCUCUCCUGAAGCCGGAUGAGGCGCGCGCCGACAGUCGUCCCCGUCUGCAGUCGGCGGCGCACCAGCGAGCAUGGGCGCCGAGGCGGGCCGACCGUCAGCGGCGGCGCUCAGCUUCAGAGACGAGCCCGGCCGUGGGCCCAUCCCCUGUCCGUUUCCGGGCGCCUCCAUGAAAUACACAAUACUUCCUGUCCGUUCCGAGCGCGGGCGACCGCCAGUCCGCGGACGCAGUUUCAGGAGUGUGCCGGUGUGUGUUGGCGUUUGUGUGUUUGUGUGUGUCGGUCUGUGUCGGUAGCCGUGUCGUCUGGUUGUGUGCCACAGGGUACUGCGUCAGCAGCGCGCCGCCCCCUCUUCGGCGGGGGCGGACUGUGUUCGUGUCACGGCUGGAGUCUGUAGCUGGACCGCAGCUGACAGAGGCCGUCAGGGCAUCCCGAGCUUUUCAGGCGCGGAGUCGCGCGUAGCUUUUCUCGCUAAUCGUCGAGGUGCAAUACAAGUAAUCUCGUAUGUACUUCCCUUAUGUGUCCACCGUUGCAUGUGGACUCCUUCAUGACGGAAUUACCCGGUGUGCUAGCGACACCACUGAGCUUUGCUUUCGGGUGAGAUGACCACCCGUUCGCUGUCGUUCAUUGAAUAAUAAAUGAUCCUUACAUGUU
This 1099-nucleotide long non-coding RNA is filed under the name Pollicipes pollicipes. Its description in RNAcentral is "uncharacterized LOC119099000". The record is from RNAcentral. Lineage: Eukaryota; Metazoa; Arthropoda; Thecostraca; Pollicipedomorpha; Pollicipedidae.